Columba livia (rock pigeon) is the source of this 1327-nucleotide long non-coding RNA. RefSeq lists it as uncharacterized. Lineage: Eukaryota; Metazoa; Chordata; Aves; Columbiformes; Columbidae. The record is from RefSeq and is a predicted model, not a curated record. The transcript is spliced from 2 exons.
UGCGAGUCAGAGUGCAGAGCAAAGCUCACCAGCAAGGGGAGGAUAGAUGAGAGCACAGCUCUUAGCAGCUACCACAGACUAAAGGUAGUUCUCUUAGGGAAAAAAAAAAAGCAGCUAAGUAGAGCUACAAACCUGAUUUUUCACUGCAUGCUUUAUAUUUUAAAGUAUCUGCUUCUAUUGAGUUUUGGAUUUUCUUUUUUUUAAAGCAGGGUUCAAACCUGUAGGAGCUUACUAUGAAACACUAUCAGACUACUUCACUGCCCCCGACUCCAAAAGCAGCAAUAAAGGGCAUACAUGAAGUGGCAACACAUCCAGCAGUGGAUCUAGGGCACCCACUUUUAUUUUGAGAUGCAAGGCAGUUGCACAGCUGCUUGGACACACAAGAGCAAGGCAGAGCCAUUGCCUCCCGUUCCUGAGGAGGACAAGAGCCUGGUCCAGGGCUGCAGCCCUGCAGCAUCCCCAGGAAUGGCGCACGGGCCCAAGGGCUGGGGCAGGGAGGCACCUCCGGCAGAGCAGCUACCUCACACUGGAACAGUUCGUGUCAAUCGGCAUCAGAGAAACUCCAGCUACACCAGCAGUGGCCUCGGUCAGCAAGAGGAAGCACAGAUGUGUGUUGAACAUGACAGAGCUACGUUAGUUCCAAGUACCAUAUAGAAACCUUCCAGCUUUUAUGUUUUCAGUAAAAUUCUGAAUUGCAAUUACAAUAUCAAUAGUAACACUUAGCAAAUCAAAUUGAUAAAUACAUACUGUGUUCCAACUCCAGGUUGUUUUUAAUGGCAAACCAUCUUCAAGUACAAUGAAUAUUUCUGCUCUGGCCGCUCUUUAGAUGAUGUUUUCAACUGUGUCGUAAUUUAACAUAGAACAGCUCUUCUUAAGACCUUGACAGAAUCCUUCAUUAUCUUAGGCAAUUAUAAUUUGUAUUUUUAGCCAAAACCCAUGCACAGCAGUCUGUCUACAGAAAUACCUCAACUGGUAGCCUGAAGUGUGUCUAACUUCUUGAAACACAGGGAUGGGUACUAACUUUAGGUAAAAAAAGAAAAUAAAUCAGCUUUCUUGCUAUCAUUAUUUAUUCCCUUUCAUACUUGCCCAUUUAGUUCCAAUAGUAAAUAUUUCUUACACUGGAUCUUCAAAACAUAAGCCAUUUCAUACCUCUUUAAGGUGGUCUGUAAAACUGUUCUGACAAGGUAAUUAAGAUCUGCCAGCUGGCACUCAUGUAAAAUACAUUUGCAACCAAAAGGUAGAGAUUUUACCUCCAACUAAAGGGUUAAAAGUCUCCUUUGAUUGCAGGAUCCAGAACUUAAUGCACUAUUUCAGAACCCUGCCACCC